UCCGUAGGCGGUGUGGCAAGUCGGUAGUGAAACCUCUGGGCUUAACCCAGAGACUGCUGCCGAAACUGCUGUGCUAGAGUGUGAGAGAGGCGAGUGGAAUUACGGGUGUAGCGGUGAAAUGCGUAGAUAUCCGUAGGAACAUCCGAGGCGAAAGCGGCUCGCUGGAUCACAACUGACGCUGAGGGACGAAAGCUAAGGGAGCAAACAGGAUUAGAUACCCUGGUAGUCCUAGCCCUAAACCAUCAGGACUUGGGGUUUGCCCUGUACGGGGCAAGUCCCGUAGCUAACGCGUUAAGUCCUGCGCCUGGGGAGUACGGUCGCAAGGCUGAA
This 330-nucleotide ribosomal RNA is filed under the name uncultured bacterium. RNAcentral describes it as "bacterial SSU rRNA". It matches the Rfam family "Bacterial small subunit ribosomal RNA", at positions 568 to 898 of the family's 1533-position model. The record is from RNAcentral.